RNAcentral lists this unclassified non-coding RNA (2626 nucleotides) under Hevea brasiliensis (rubber tree). Lineage: Eukaryota; Viridiplantae; Streptophyta; Magnoliopsida; Malpighiales; Euphorbiaceae. The record is from RNAcentral.
CAUCAAGAUUGACAUACAAUAUAAAGGAAAUAUGUAGCCUCCUGCUGCUAUCUGGAGCACUUACCCCUCCCUAAUGACAAAAACUUCGUCUUUGCAUUUCAAAAUUUACGUUUGAAUAUUGGAAUCCUUGAAACUAAAUAAUGGAUUAGCUUCUAUUCUCAAUUUCCCUAACACCAGUGCCCCAGACAAACAAAAACUUCCCAUAUAUAUAAUUUCAGGAGAAGAUAGCUCUCCCCAACAUUCUAGCUCCGGCCAAAACCCACAUGAUGGCACAUAAUGCUCCAAGAAUAGAUAAGAAAAGAAUACCCCUACUAGUUCCAACUUUAGUUGAAUUUGCAGUUUGAUUACUACCAACAAGAUUAUCAGUAUUGAUAUUGUUAUUUUUGAUAUUCAGUCUGAUCCUGCUGAAGCUAGACAUUCGCUCAAAAGCCUUAUUCACCAAAGGAGUCUCGGCAGCUGAUGCAGGAGUAGUAGGUAUUGACUCCAAAAAUUCCCACAAAGCAGAGGAGAACCAACCAGUAGCACCACCAUCCUCUCCACCACUUUGAUUCUCAUUAGCUCCAGUAGGAGCAUUGGAAGAUUCAUAUGCGACACCUGAACGUGACCAAAAUGGCCAAAGAUUUAGACUACAUUAAUUCUAAUAGUCGAUUUCAAUAUAAUACAAAGGAAAUACUUGUACUAGAAGAGCUCUUGAAUUUGGCUCAAAGUCCCACUUCACGUAGGCUUUAUGCCUUGAGGAACAUCCAGAUCAAGAGCUCUGAAUGGAAGGGCUACCAUGACAGCAACUUCGUCCAAAACAGAGACAACUCAGUGAAAUAGUACACCAAGUGAAAAAUAAGAACAAAGUUGACGCUGAAAUUCUGACUAAUUUAUACCUGGAGUUGGUUGAGAAAGAGUCCCAUGAAUUGUUUCUGAAGUAGCAUGGGCAUUGCUUCUCUGAUCAUCCACCCAUAGCUGAGCUGCACCAAAUGCUUGUGGCUGCAAGUAAUCCACAUCAUUUACUGCUGAAUGUGGCUGCAAUUGGUAGUCCACCUGAUUUGCCAUUGAAUGGAACUGCAACGGGUAACCAACUCCGUUUACAUGUGAAACUGUGUCUUGAGCAACAGGCCCAAUUUCACUCAAAAACAGGUCAGCAUCAUGGUACAGAUCAAGCUCGCUAAGUCCAAAAUUGUCAAACCCCAAGUUCUCUGCAGCCUUCUCAGUGUUCAAGGAAGUAGGUUCUGGACCAAUGAGAUCAUCCAUUUCCAGGAAAUCAUCUUCACAAAGUUGCAGUGCCCCAGCAGAGCUAUGCGGACCAGAUGCGACUUUGGGUACCUCAAGUGACUGAAAUGCAGCGGUAGCUGACCCGUUGACGUCCAAGCUUUCCUGCUGGACACUUGUAGGCGAAAGAGAGAUUGGCUCAGGAAAGAUAACUUCUCUCAAGGAUGGAUCUACCAAUGUACUUUGGGUCUCAUCUUCACCAGCAACCUGUACUAGCCCACUAGUAUAAUCAUAAUCACUGAUUUGGGCCUGGUAAAGUGGAUGUUCAUCAGCAAUUUGUUUCAUGAAGUCCUCAAGAUCAAAAUCAUUUAAUGGUUGCUCCAUCUGAGCAACAGUCUUUAUGGUAUCAACAGAUGGAAUGACCGCAUUAGGCUGCUUAACAGGAGUAUCAGAGUUAUUCACAACAGCAUAAUCAUCGUCAGCCCAGUCUUCUUCCUUAAAUGGUGCUCCAUACUGCUCACCAUUCUUUGGACCAGGUCCACUUUUCUUGUAAACCUUGUAGAGUGCAUAAUAAUCCUGGACAUUUUGGCAUCUUUUGAGUUCCUCUUCAUCCAAAGUGUAUUCAUGCAUCACCCAGUCAGUUCUCUCACCAUUAGGAGCCCGGCCUCCAUAAAAAACUAGGGUCUUCUUCACUCCAACAUUCCUAGAGUUGCAAGAGAUGUUUCGGUCCUUACCUGUAGCUUUCCAAUACCCUUGUCUAGUUGCCCUAUUUGACCUUGCUCCAUUAGGAUACUUCCUAUCCCUUGGACUGAAGAAGAACCAUUGCCUAUCUCCUGUCUUCAAUAUGGAUUGUCCAGGUAAUUCCUCGGGAUCCCACUUGUAGACAUCAACCUCACGGAUGACAUCGAGCCGUAGCCGUCUCCUACAGAUUUUCCUCUUCAAGUAAUAAAGAACAAGCUCCUCAUCCGUUGGGUGGAAUCUAAACCCUGGUGGCCACACCUUAUCAUCCCCUUCAUCAGGACCCAAACAGGAAGCCGCCGUCGCCGUCACCGUCAUCGAUUAUAACUCACUAGUGUCCGAGUUAAACAAAACGAAAUAUUAAAGAACGGGAAAAGAAAACCAAGAGAAAAACAGAGAGACCCAAUUCGUUUUUCGAUCAAGAAAUGAUAUAAUUACAUGAUUCGAUUUGAUUUUGUGGGGUUUUGAGCGAGACUGAAAUGAUAAGAGAGGAAAAAAAAAAAAAGAGGAAACAAUUUUUUCUUUUGUUUCCUUUUUUACGGUGGAUUGUUGAUCAAGCAAGAAACACAGAAGACAAAUAAAAUAAAGGAGAGUCUGUGACGGGCUUUGGCCUAUGGUGAUAAUAGUCAGACUCUUACAAGGCAGCUGAUGGGCGGAUAGCGAAGGUUCUCAGAAGUAUGUGGUUUUC